GGAGAUAUAGCUCAGAUGGUAGAGCGUUCGCUUUGCAAGCGAGAGGUACGGGGAUCGAUACUCUGCAUUUUGA
Molecule: non-coding RNA, 73 nt
Organism: Jatropha curcas
Lineage: Eukaryota; Viridiplantae; Streptophyta; Magnoliopsida; Malpighiales; Euphorbiaceae
Source: Rfam